RNAcentral lists this non-coding RNA (75 nucleotides) under Candidatus Faecalibacterium intestinipullorum. RNAcentral's name for it is "Cyclic di-GMP-I riboswitch". It matches the Rfam family "c-di-GMP-I riboswitch aptamer", at positions 12 to 86 of the family's 87-position model. Rfam says of the family: GEMM was predicted in a large-scale screen for bacterial structured RNA regulatory elements. Genes associated with GEMM are involved in a diverse array of functions, including chemotaxis regulation, signal transduction, secretion and chitin. Lineage: Bacteria; Bacillati; Bacillota; Clostridia; Eubacteriales; Oscillospiraceae. The record is from RNAcentral.
GCAAAGCCGUCGAAAGGCGGCGACGCAAAGCUAUGAGUCUACGGCAGGCUGCUGCUAAGAUUGUCAGGCUGCAAA